RNAcentral lists this ribosomal RNA (253 nucleotides) under uncultured bacterium. Its description in RNAcentral is "partial 16S ribosomal RNA". It matches the Rfam family "Bacterial small subunit ribosomal RNA", at positions 524 to 776 of the family's 1533-position model. The record is from RNAcentral.
UACGUAGGGUGCGAGCGUUGUCCGGAAUUAUUGGGCGUAAAGGGCGCGUAGGCGGUGCGGUAAGUCUGCGGUGAAAUCUCCAGGCUCAACUUGGAGGGGUCGUCGAAGACUGGCGGACUAGGGUCUGGCAGAGGCAGGUAGAAUUCCCGGUGGAGCGGUGAAAUGCGUAGAGAUCGGGAGGAAUACCAGUGGCGAAGGCGGCCUGCUGGGCCACGACCGACACUGAGGUGCGAAAGCGUGGGGAGCGAACCGG